GUGUGUGAAGAAGGCCUUCGGGUUGUAAAGCACUUUCAGUCAGGAGGAAAGGUUAGUAGUUAAUACCUGCUAGCUGUGACGUUACUGACAGAAGAAGCACCGGCUAACUCCGUGCCAGCAGCCGCGGUAAUACGGAGGGUGCGAGCGUUAAUCGGAAUUACUGGGCGUAAAGCGUACGCAGGCGGUUUGUUAAGCGAGAUGUGAAAGCCCCGGGCUCAACCUGGGAACUGCAUUUCGAACUGGCAAACUAGAGUGUGAUAGAGGGUGGUAGAAUUUCAGGUGUAGCGGUGAAAUGCGUAGAGAUCUGAAGGAAUACCGAUGGCGAAGGCAGCCACCUGGGUCAACACUGACGCUCAUGUACGAAAGCGUGGGGAGCAAACGGGAUUAGAUACCCCGGUAGUCCACGCCGUAAACGAUGUCUACUAGAAGCUCGGAGCCUCGGUUCUGUUUUUCAAAGCUAACGCAUUAAGUAGACCGCCUGGGGAGUACGGCCGCAAG
This 498-nucleotide ribosomal RNA is filed under the name uncultured prokaryote. Its description in RNAcentral is "bacterial SSU rRNA". It matches the Rfam family "Bacterial small subunit ribosomal RNA", at positions 401 to 892 of the family's 1533-position model. The record is from RNAcentral.